Molecule: ribosomal RNA, 500 nt
Filed under: uncultured bacterium
Lineage: Bacteria
Description: partial 16S ribosomal RNA
Rfam family: Bacterial small subunit ribosomal RNA
Source: RNAcentral
AUUGAACGCUAGCGGGACGCCUUACACAUGCAAGUCGAACGGCAGCGCGGACUUCGGUCUGGCGGCGAGUGGCGAACGGGUGAGUAAUGUAUUGGAACGUGCCCAGUAGCGGGGGAUAACUACUCGAAAGAGUAGCUAAUACCGCAUACGCCCUACGAGGGAAAGGGGGGGAUCGCAAGACCUCUCACUAUUGGAGCGGCCGAUAUCGGAUUAGCUAGUUGGUGAGGUAAAGGCUCACCAAGGCGACGAUCCGUAGCUGGUUUGAGAGGACGACCAGCCACACUGGGACUGAGACACGGCCCAGACUCCUACGGGAGGCAGCAGUGGGGAAUUUUGGACAAUGGGGGCAACCCUGAUCCAGCCAUUCCGCGUGUGCGAUGAAGGCCUUCGGGUUGUAAAGCACUUUUGGCAGGAAAGAAAUCGCACGGAUUAAUACUCUGUGUGGAUGACGGUACCUGCAGAAUAAGCACCGGCUAACUACGUGCCAGCCGCCGCAGUAA